RNAcentral lists this transfer RNA (68 nucleotides) under Acrossocheilus yunnanensis. RNAcentral describes it as "tRNA-Glu". It matches the Rfam family "tRNA". Rfam says of the family: Transfer RNA (tRNA) molecules are approximately 80 nucleotides in length. Their secondary structure includes four short double-helical elements and three loops (D, anti-codon, and T loops). Lineage: Eukaryota; Metazoa; Chordata; Actinopteri; Cypriniformes; Cyprinidae. The record is from RNAcentral.
GUUCCUGUAGUUGAAUACAACGGUGGUUCUUCAAAUCAUUGGUCUCAGUUAAAGUCUGAGUGGGAAUU